AGCAUAAUGAGUCUUUGCCGACGGUAUCAGUUAAGAAGGACGAUGAUGCUCCGGAGAGACCUAAGCGGACACUCAUGGGCUGGAAAGACAAAAAAGUGACAAAAGAGAGUGAAGUUGGUUCUGAUCAUGCUGUUUUUCGAAAUAAAGAAAAGGUUCUCAUCACGUGUUCCCGUCGAAUCAAUUUUAGAAGGAUAACAAGGUGGAGUUGAGGUCCAGCAAGGGUGCAACACUGAAUGAGCUGGUUGAGCUCAAAGGUUGUUCUUCCAGCCUAUUUUUCGAGUGCAGAAAACAUAAAGAUCUUUAUCUAUGUAUGACAAAGUGCCCUAGUGGGCCAUCUGUGAAGUUUUUAGUUAAUGCCAUUUGUUUUCUCUAUUGUUGAUGACCAUAUCUGGUUCCGGAAUUACCAGGUUCAACUGGAGUCGACAACUUCAUGAGUUUUCUUUCAAAGAACAUUUCCAGAGACGAACAUUCUCGGUUGGUCGUUUAUGCUUCUGCAGAAAAUCUUGUUAGAUGUAUUCUAAUGCUAUUUAAAAUAUUUUUUGAUUAAGGGCUAGUAUUUCGUACAUGUGGAUUAUUGAAACUUGUAUUAAGAUGUACAAAUAUUAUAAAUCGUAUUAUAGUGUAUAUAUAUUAAAGUGUUGGCUAUUUUUUUGUA
This is a long non-coding RNA of Cucumis sativus (cucumber), 655 nucleotides long. RefSeq lists it as uncharacterized. NCBI's taxonomy places the organism in Eukaryota, Viridiplantae, Streptophyta, Magnoliopsida, Cucurbitales, Cucurbitaceae. The record is from RefSeq and is a predicted model, not a curated record. The transcript has 4 exons.